Molecule: unclassified non-coding RNA, 248 nt
Filed under: Glomeraceae sp.
Lineage: Eukaryota; Fungi; Glomeromycota; Glomeromycetes; Glomerales; Glomeraceae
Description: partial contains 5.8S ribosomal RNA and internal transcribed spacer 2
Rfam family: 5.8S ribosomal RNA (bases 1-65)
Source: RNAcentral
GUGAAUCAUCAAAUUUUUGAACGCAAAUUGCACUCUCCUCGGAGAGUAUGCCUGUUUGAGGGUCAGCCCAUAAAAAAUCGACAUCGUUGCUGUUUCGCGGUGACGUUCGUCGGAAAUCGGGUCAUCUUCAAUCCUUUUGGUUUUAAGCGACUUAAAAUUUUCUUUUUGGUUUUUUGAACGUUUCUAAGAUUUAUUUCUUUACACGUUUAUGGGUAUCGAUUUUUUUUUGGAUUUUACUGUAAUACCGA